GAUGAACGCUAGCUACAGGCUUAACACAUGCAAUUCGAGUGGAAGCGGCAUCUAAAGCUUGCUUUUGAUGGGCGUCGACCGGCGCACGGUUGAGUAACGCGUAUCCAACCUGCCCAUCACUUGGGAAUAACCUUGCGAAAGUAAGACUAAUGCCCAAUGACAUCCCACGAAGGCAUCCGAAUGGGAUUAAAGAUUUAUCUGUUAUGGAUGGGGAUGCGUCUGAUUAGCUUGUUGGCGGGGUGACGGCCCACCAAGGCAACGAUCAGUAGGUGUUCUGAGAGGAAGGUCCCCCACAUUGAAACUGAGACACGGUCCAAACGCAUACGGGAGGCAGAAGUGAGGAAUAUUGGUCAAUGGGCGAGAGCCUGAACCAGCCAAGUAGAGUGCAGGAUGACGGCCCUAUGGGUUGUAAACUGCUUUUAUAAGGGAAAAAAGUGGGUCACGUGUGACUUUUUGCAUGUACAUUAUUAAUAAGGACCGGCUAAUUCAGUG
Molecule: ribosomal RNA, 492 nt
Filed under: uncultured bacterium
Lineage: Bacteria
Description: partial 16S ribosomal RNA
Rfam family: Bacterial small subunit ribosomal RNA
Source: RNAcentral